UGGAUGAUUGUGAUUGUAUAGGCUUCCUGACACUGUCUGAAAGAUAAACACUUCACUUCUUUGCAAUGGUUGCCAAGUUAGAUAGUGAAACAAAAUUAGGGUACCAUGUAAUCUGGCUGUGUAGUAAACUGAGGUUACCAUGUGGUUUCCUUAAUCAUUAGUUGAUCGUAAAGUGUGAAAUGUCACUGAGGUUACCAUUGUUCAUGUCUGGAUUGUGCAGAGUGUUGUCAUGCCAAAUGCCAGUGUCAUUUUUUUUAAUCCCAUGGUGCUAUACAAGAUGCAGUGGUUUUUAAU
This 294-nucleotide long non-coding RNA is filed under the name Setaria viridis. Its description in RNAcentral is "long non-coding RNA (SVIR_LNC007106)". The record is from RNAcentral. Lineage: Eukaryota; Viridiplantae; Streptophyta; Magnoliopsida; Poales; Poaceae.